UACGAAUGGGGCAAGCGUUGUUCGGAAUCACUGGGCUUAAAGCGUGCGUAGGCGGACUCACAAGUCAGAAGUGAAAGCCCUGGGCUCAACCCAGGAAUUGCUUUUGAAACUGUAAGUCUAGAAUCCUGGAGAGGUUAGGAGAAUUCCGAGUGUAGAGGUGAAAUUCGCAGAUAUUCGGAGGAAUACCAGUGGCGUAGGCGCCUAACUGGACAGGUAUUGACGCUGAGGCACGAAAGCGUGGGGAGCAAACAGG
This 253-nucleotide ribosomal RNA is filed under the name uncultured bacterium. RNAcentral's name for it is "partial 16S ribosomal RNA". It matches the Rfam family "Bacterial small subunit ribosomal RNA", at positions 524 to 776 of the family's 1533-position model. The record is from RNAcentral.